This 485-nucleotide ribosomal RNA is filed under the name Desulfovibrio fairfieldensis. RNAcentral describes it as "bacterial SSU rRNA". It matches the Rfam family "Bacterial small subunit ribosomal RNA", at positions 54 to 522 of the family's 1533-position model. The record is from RNAcentral. Lineage: Bacteria; Pseudomonadati; Thermodesulfobacteriota; Desulfovibrionia; Desulfovibrionales; Desulfovibrionaceae.
CAUGCAAGUCGAACGCGAAAGAGACUUCGGUCUCGAGUAGAGUGGCGCACGGGUGAGUAACGCGUGGAUAAUCUGCCCUCAUGACCGGGAUAACAGUUGGAAACGGCUGCUAAUACCGGAUACGCUCUGAAUGAACUUUUAGGGGAAAGACGGCCUCUGCUUGCAAGCUGUCGUAUGAGGAUGAGUCCGCGUCCCAUUAGCUGGUUGGCGGGGUAACGGCCCACCAAGGCAACGAUGGGUAGCCGAUCUGAGAGGAUGAUCGGCCACACUGGAACUGAAACACGGUCCAGACUCCUACGGGAGGCAGCAGUGGGGAAUAUUGCGCAAUGGGCGAAAGCCUGACGCAGCGACGCCGCGUGAGGGAUGAAGGUUUUCGGAUCGUAAACCUCUGUCAGAAGGGAAGAAAGUGUGUGGUGCUAAUCAGCCGCGCAUUGACGGUACCUUCAAAGGAAGCACCGGCUAACUCCGUGCCAGCAGCCGCGGGU